This 77-nucleotide transfer RNA is filed under the name Desulfovibrio sp. Its description in RNAcentral is "tRNA-Arg". It matches the Rfam family "tRNA". Rfam says of the family: Transfer RNA (tRNA) molecules are approximately 80 nucleotides in length. Their secondary structure includes four short double-helical elements and three loops (D, anti-codon, and T loops). Lineage: Bacteria; Pseudomonadati; Thermodesulfobacteriota; Desulfovibrionia; Desulfovibrionales; Desulfovibrionaceae. The record is from RNAcentral.
GCGCCCAUAGCUCAGACGGAUAGAGCAGGAGCCUUCUAAGCUCUUGGCCGGGGGUUCGAUUCCCUCUGGGCGCGCCA